ACUACGGGGAGCAGCAGUGAGGAAUAUUGGUCAAUGGACGAGAGUCUGAACCAGCCAAGUAGCGUGAAGGAUGACUGCCCUAUGGGUUGUAAACUUCUUUUAUAAAGGAAUAAAACGAGGCACGUGUGCCUUUUUGCAUGUACUUUAUGAAUAAGGAUCGGCUAACUCCGUGCCAGCAGCCGCGGUAAUACGGAGGAUCCGAGCGUUAUCCGGAUUUAUUGGGUUUAAAGUGAGCGUAGAUGGGUUGUUAAGUCAGUUGUGAAAGUUUGCGGCUCAAACGUAAAAUUGCAAUUGAUACUGGCAGUCUUGAGUACAGUUGAGGUAGGCGGAAUUCGUGGUGUAGCAGUGAAAUGCUUAGAUAUCACGAAGAACCCCGAUUGCGAAGGCAGCUUACUAAACUGUGACUGACAUUGAUGCUCGAAAGUGUGGGUAUCAAACAGGAUUAGAUACCCUGGUAGUC
This 460-nucleotide ribosomal RNA is filed under the name uncultured bacterium. Its description in RNAcentral is "partial 16S ribosomal RNA". It matches the Rfam family "Bacterial small subunit ribosomal RNA", at positions 338 to 795 of the family's 1533-position model. The record is from RNAcentral.